This is a long non-coding RNA of Pantherophis guttatus, 2227 nucleotides long. RefSeq lists it as uncharacterized. Lineage: Eukaryota; Metazoa; Chordata; Lepidosauria; Squamata; Colubridae. The record is from RefSeq and is a predicted model, not a curated record.
AAUCUUCUCAACUGACGCCCUAGCUCCCGCUCUUCAAUUAGCCUCCCACCCCCACGCCAGAAAUGGCCACAGCCAAUGGUCUCGCGCUCGAGAAAGAGCAAAGAUUGGCAUCUUAGGCAACCAAUGCAUUUUGGAGAAAGAGGGCGGUUCUUCGUAGGUCAAUCUUUAGUGCUUCGGUGAUUGUUUGAGGCGUGGCCACCAGUAGCAGAGUGGUGGGAAAUGACUGCAGAGGGAACAAACGCCUGUCAUCCAUGUUUAGCUCAAUUCACCUUGGCUGCUCAAAUUCUAUCCAUCCUUACUCAGAAGAAAGACCCAUUGUUUUAAUGGGGCAAAUAAGUGUAAGGAUUGCCACUUUAAAUAACCUAAAAAGCAAUCUAUCCAUUUAGAUACUGUUCGAAGAUAUGAUUCACUCUUCUCCUAGAAAAAGGAAAAGAAACUCAAAAAAUAUUAAAAGAGCAGGAAAAUUCCCCUAAAAGAAAAUAAGCAGAAACUCAGGCAGAGUUUCAGCCCCCACUUUUGUCAAUGGGCCAUUAAGAAGCUGAAGCCACCCUAUUUUCCACAACGAAGGAAGGACAAAAUUACAGGGGCCUGCAACAUCCAAACAGGUAUGGGACACAGAAAAAAGCAAACACCCAAAAAGGAAAAGAAGUCAAGCCAAAGUAAUUAGAAUUUUAAACACAUGAGAAAAGGAGAUAUUCACUAAAACACAGUAAUAGCAAACUGAUUAAUUAUAGGGAACGAACAACUACAAAGGGCUAGGAAAAAGAAGAGAUUGGACUAUAAAACAAUUAUUUGCCAGAUCCAGGACGGAGGAACCAAUCACAAAAAAGCAAGAUUUAAACACCAUAAAACAAACACACACAUGAAUCAAAGGAUUCACGUGCCAAAUCAAAAAUAAUUUCAAAAGACUUUAAAGGGUCACAUAGAAAAAUCAAAAGACCUUUUAGGAUAUAAAAAGCGUUUUUCUUAACAGCUCAAACAGUCUAGCCUCCGAACGUUGUGCUUGUAUUUGUUUCUUGCCUGCCUUCCUAUAAACAAUAAACUAAUUCUGCUCUCAAGCAGCUGACCUCCAAUCAUUUCGAAGUAAUCUCCCAGCCGGGAGUUUUGAAUUCAAGAAGGGAAAGCUCUGCCUUCCAACAAUCCUUAAAGGGAAAGGCUUCUUUUUCUUCCAACAAUUGGUGACUCUCCCAGCCAACCCAGCCACCAGACGGGGCCCAGAGAUCAAAACUCAGCCGCCACAGACCUUCUUUGUCUGGGGAAAAUAUCUACGGACCCUGCCCUGGAGGCAUCAGGUAGUAAAGAGAGUCCUUGAGCUUUGCAUUCAGCAGCUGCUUGAAAGCAGGCUUCUCUGACUUAAUGACCUCUAGAUGGUUGGCUGAGAAUUAUGCAAACUGAAUCCAAGACUACAGAAAGCUACGUUGUAUGCACCAACUGAGAGCCGAGGUGGCGCAGUGGUUAGAGUGCAGUACUGCAGCUACUUCAGCUGACUGCUAGUUCAGCAGCUCAGUGGAUCAGAUCUCACCGGCUCAAGUUGACUCAGCCUUCCAUCCUUCCAAGGUGGGUAAAAUGAGGACCCAGAUUGUUAGGGGGCAAUAUGCUAUUUAGUAUACUGUCUUUGGUGUAAGCUACCCAGAGUCUCGGAGAGUGGGUGGCAUAGAAAUAUGACUAAUAAAAAUAAUAAAUAAAAUAAUAAAAAGAGACUUUGUGCAGUUGUGGCUGCCAUCUUUUGUUUUUAAUUAAUCCAACAUCCCCAUAAUUGACAAAAAUGAAUGGUACAGGUAGUCCUCAACUUAUGAUCACAAUGGAGCCCAACAUUUUUAUUGUUAAGUGAGAAAUUUGUUAAGUGAGUUUUGCCCCACUUCUUUUGCCACAUUUGUUAAGUGAAUCACUAUAGUUGUUAAAUUAGUAAUACGGUUGUUAGGUGAAUUUUAUUUCCUCAUUGACUUUGCUUGUCAGAAGGUCGCCAAAGGGGAUCACAUGACCUUGGGACACAGCAAUGGUAAUAAGUAUGAGUCAGUUAUCAAGCAUUUGAAUGUAAAUCACAUGACCGUUGGAAUGCUACACCAGUCUUAAGUGUGAAAAAUGGUCAAAUGCCUUUUUUCAGUGCUGUUGUACCUUUGAACAGUCACUAAAUGAACUGUUGUAAGUAGAAGACUAGCUGUAUUGAUAUGUAAGCUUCCUAAAUAAAAUUUUCUCAAAUACUAUAUAUGACAAGGGUGUCAAACUC